RNAcentral lists this ribosomal RNA (2904 nucleotides) under Cronobacter sakazakii. RNAcentral's name for it is "23S ribosomal RNA". It matches the Rfam family "Bacterial large subunit ribosomal RNA". The record is from RNAcentral. Lineage: Bacteria; Pseudomonadati; Pseudomonadota; Gammaproteobacteria; Enterobacterales; Enterobacteriaceae.
GGUUAAGCGAACAAGCGUACACGGUGGAUGCCCUGGCAGUCAGAGGCGAUGAAGGACGUGCUAAUCUGCGAAAAGCGCCGGUAAGGUGAUAUGAACCGUUAUAACCGGCGAUGUCCGAAUGGGGAAACCCGGUGCACUUCGGUGCAUCAUCGUUAGCUGAAUACAUAGGCUAACGAGGCGAACCGGGGGAACUGAAACAUCUAAGUACCCCGAGGAAAAGAAAUCAACCGAGAUUCCCCCAGUAGCGGCGAGCGAACGGGGAACAGCCCAGAGCCUGAAUCAGCUUGUGUGUCAGUGGAACGGUCUGGAAAGGCCGGCGAUACAGGGUGACAGCCCCGUACACGAAGGCACACAGGCUGUGAGCUCGAUGAGUAGGGCGGGACACGUGAUAUCCUGUCUGAAGAUGGGGGGACCAUCCUCCAAGGCUAAAUACUCCUGACUGACCGAUAGUGAACCAGUACCGUGAGGGAAAGGCGAAAAGAACCCCGGCGAGGGGAGUGAAACAGAACCUGAAACCGUGUACGUACAAGCAGUGGGAGCCUUCGUAAGAGGGUGACUGCGUACCUUUUGUAUAAUGGGUCAGCGACUUAUAUUCUGUAGCAAGGUUAACCGUAUAGGGGAGCCGAAGGGAAACCGAGUCUUAACCGGGCGUUAAGUUGCAGGGUAUAGACCCGAAACCCGGUGAUCUAGCCAUGGGCAGGUUGAAGGUUGGGUAACACUAACUGGAGGACCGAACCGACUAAUGUUGAAAAAUUAGCGGAUGACCUGUGGCUGGGGGUGAAAGGCCAAUCAAACCGGGAGAUAGCUGGUUCUCCCCGAAAGCUAUUUAGGUAGCGCCUCGUGAACUCAUCUCCGGGGGUAGAGCACUGUUUCGGCUAGGGGGCCAUCCCGGCUUACCAACCCGAUGCAAACUGCGAAUACCGGAGAAUGUUAUCACGGGAGACACACGGCGGGUGCUAACGUCCGUCGUGAAGAGGGAAACAACCCAGACCGCCAGCUAAGGUCCCAAAGUCAUGGUUAAGUGGGAAACGAUGUGGGAAGGCCCAGACAGCCAGGAUGUUGGCUUAGAAGCAGCAGCCUCAUUUAAAGAAAGCGUAAUAGCUCACUGGUCGAGUCGGCCUGCGCGGAAGAUGUAACGGGGCUAAACCAUGCACCGAAGCUGCGGCAGCGACACUCUGUGUUGUUGGGUAGGGGAGCGUUCUGUAAGCCUGCGAAGGUGUGCUGUGAGGCAUGCUGGAGGUAUCAGAAGUGCGAAUGCUGACAUAAGUAACGAUAAAGCGGGUGAAAAGCCCGCUCGCCGGAAGACCAAGGGUUCCUGUCCAACGUUAAUCGGGGCAGGGUGAGUCGACCCCUAAGGCGAGGCCGAAAGGCGUAGUCGAUGGGAAACAGGUUAAUAUUCCUGUACUUGGUGUUACUGCGAAGGGGGGACGGAGAAGGCUAUGUCGGCCGGGCGACGGUUGUCCCGGUUUAAGCGUGUAGGCUGACUUUCCAGGCAAAUCCGGAAAGUUAAGGCUGAGGCGUGAUGACGAGGCACCACGGUGCUGAAGUGACAAAUGCCCUGCUUCCAGGAAAAGCCUCUAAGCAUCAGGUAACAUCAAAUCGUACCCCAAACCGACACAGGUGGUCAGGUAGAGAAUACCAAGGCGCUUGAGAGAACUCGGGUGAAGGAACUAGGCAAAAUGGUGCCGUAACUUCGGGAGAAGGCACGCUGACAUGUAGGUGAAGCCCCUGCGGGUGGAGCUGAAGUCAGUCGAAGAUACCAGCUGGCUGCAACUGUUUAUUAAAAACACAGCACUGUGCAAACACGAAAGUGGACGUAUACGGUGUGACGCCUGCCCGGUGCCGGAAGGUUAAUUGAUGGGGUUAUCGCAAGAGAAGCUCCUGAUCGAAGCCCCGGUAAACGGCGGCCGUAACUAUAACGGUCCUAAGGUAGCGAAAUUCCUUGUCGGGUAAGUUCCGACCUGCACGAAUGGCGUAAUGAUGGCCAGGCUGUCUCCACCCGAGACUCAGUGAAAUUGAACUCGCUGUGAAGAUGCAGUGUACCCGCGGCAAGACGGAAAGACCCCGUGAACCUUUACUACAGCUUGACACUGAACAUUGAGCCUUGAUGUGUAGGAUAGGUGGGAGGCUUUGAAGCGUGGACGCCAGUCUGCGUGGAGCCGACCUUGAAAUACCACCCUUUAAUGUUUGAUGUUCUAACCUGGCGCCGUAAUCCGGCGUGGGGACAGUGUCUGGUGGGUAGUUUGACUGGGGCGGUCUCCUCCCAAAGUGUAACGGAGGAGCACGAAGGUCAGCUAAUCCUGGUCGGACAUCAGGAGGUUAGUGCAAUGGCAUAAGCUGGCUUGACUGCGAGAGUGACGGCUCGAGCAGGUGCGAAAGCAGGUCAUAGUGAUCCGGUGGUUCUGUAUGGAAGGGCCAUCGCUCAACGGAUAAAAGGUACUCCGGGGAUAACAGGCUGAUACCGCCCAAGAGUUCAUAUCGACGGCGGUGUUUGGCACCUCGAUGUCGGCUCAUCACAUCCUGGGGCUGAAGUAGGUCCCAAGGGUAUGGCUGUUCGCCAUUUAAAGUGGUACGCGAGCUGGGUUUAGAACGUCGUGAGACAGUUCGGUCCCUAUCUGCCGUGGGCGCUGGAGAAUUGAGGGGGGCUGCUCCCAGUACGAGAGGACCGGAGUGGACGCAUCACUGGUGUUCGGGUUGUCAUGCCAAUGGCACUGCCCGGUAGCUAAAUGCGGAAGAGAUAAGUGCUGAAAGCAUCUAAGCACGAAACUUGCCCCGAGAUGAGUUCUCCCUGAGACUAUAAGUCUCCUGAAGGAACGUUGAAGACGACGACGUUGAUAGGCCGGGUGUGUAAGCGCAGCGAUGCGUUGAGCUAACCGGUACUAAUGAACCGUGAGGCUUAACCUU